GUAGGUGGCAAGCGUUGUCCGGGAAUUAUUGGGGCGUAAAGCGCGCGCAGGCGGUUCUUUAAGUCUGAUGUGAAAGCCCACGGGCUCAACCGUGGAGGGUCAUUGGAAACUGGAGAACUUGAGUACAGAAGAGGAAAGCGGAAUUCCACGUGUAGCGGUGAAAUGCGUGGAGAUGUGGAGGAACACCAGUGGCGAAGGCGGCUUUCUGGUCUGUAACUGACGCUGAGGCGCGAAAGCGUGGGGAGCAAACAGGAUUAGAUACCCUGGUAGUCCACGCCGUAAACGAUGAGUGCUAAGUGUUAGGGGGUUUCCGCCCCUUAGUGCUGCAGCUAACGCAUUAAGCACUCCGCCUGGGGAGUACGGCCGCAAAGGCUG
RNAcentral lists this ribosomal RNA (375 nucleotides) under uncultured organism. RNAcentral's name for it is "partial 16S ribosomal RNA". It matches the Rfam family "Bacterial small subunit ribosomal RNA", at positions 527 to 896 of the family's 1533-position model. The record is from RNAcentral.